This 56-nucleotide transfer RNA is filed under the name Heteroscyphus coalitus. RNAcentral's name for it is "partial tRNA-Leu". It matches the Rfam family "tRNA", at positions 28 to 71 of the family's 71-position model. Rfam says of the family: Transfer RNA (tRNA) molecules are approximately 80 nucleotides in length. Their secondary structure includes four short double-helical elements and three loops (D, anti-codon, and T loops). RNAcentral also lists the same sequence under 21 other names. The record is from RNAcentral. Lineage: Eukaryota; Viridiplantae; Streptophyta; Jungermanniopsida; Jungermanniales; Lophocoleaceae.
GGACUUAAAAUCCGUUGGCUUUUUAGACCGUGAGGGUUCAAGUCCCUCUACCCCCA